Molecule: microRNA precursor, 59 nt
Filed under: Centruroides sculpturatus (bark scorpion)
Lineage: Eukaryota; Metazoa; Arthropoda; Arachnida; Scorpiones; Buthidae
Description: Csc-Mir-281_pre stem-loop
Rfam family: mir-46/mir-47/mir-281 microRNA precursor family
About the family: The hairpin precursors (represented here) are predicted based on base pairing and cross-species conservation -- their extents are not known. In this case the mature sequences are expressed from the 3' arms of the hairpin precursors.
Source: RNAcentral
AAGAGAGCUAUCCAUAGACAGUGAAAAAGAUAAUAACUGUCAUGGAGUUGCUCUCUUUA